GAUGAAAUUGGGGAUAAAGUUAGCUCAUGGGGAGUUGGGGCAGGGCCUCUGUUUCUGCCUGUUGUUGUAUUCUAGUGUAUGUGUGUGUUCAGUCUCCUACUUGUGUUGUUGUAACAUUAUUAUUAACUGAUGAUGAACAAACAGAUCACACAUUGUACCACUAUUUUGUAUUUCUUCAGUGCAUAAGAUGGUUACAGGUCAAUUCAAUUCUAUAUUUUUGUUAUGGUAGAACAUACAUUUCCAUUGCCUCCACCUGGCUGCGAUAUUUGUAUGUUGAUAUGUUUUCUCGAAAAAUGUUUGUCAAGACAAAGACUACUAAAACUUUUGCUCAAGUGUAAUAAUCUGCAACUCCUCCUUACCCCUGCUUCUACCAAGGGUACUUUGUCCUUCCAACAGAAGUGGAACAGAUGACAAUAGUCUCAGUGGAGGAGUUUUUACUUUGUGUUGUAGAGAACUGAACAUUUUCCUGGUCCUCAUUUGCUUGUAGCAUUUCAUGAAGCUGACAUGUAGGGUCCUGGGCAGAGGAACAAAAAUCAGAAAUGGCAAAUUGUUAAAUAUUUUGCUAUGAACAAACAGAUCACACAUUGUACCACUAUUUUGUAUUUCUUCAGUGCAUAAGAUGAUGAUCACAGGUCAAUUCAAUUCUAUAUUUUUGUUAUGGUAGAACAUACAUUUCCAUUGCCUCCGUUUGGCUACAGUAUUUGUAUUUCAAUACGUUUUCUUGAAA
RNAcentral lists this long non-coding RNA (727 nucleotides) under Triticum aestivum (bread wheat). RNAcentral describes it as "long non-coding RNA (TAES_LNC013876)". Lineage: Eukaryota; Viridiplantae; Streptophyta; Magnoliopsida; Poales; Poaceae. The record is from RNAcentral.